AAACUACAACUCUCUGGAUCCCUUGGGCCAUUUCUCGUUCCCAGUGCGAUCCUCAUCAGUUGUCGAAGAAG
Molecule: small nucleolar RNA, 71 nt
Organism: Leishmania infantum JPCM5
Lineage: Eukaryota; Euglenozoa; Kinetoplastea; Trypanosomatida; Trypanosomatidae
Rfam family: Trypanosomatid snoRNA TB10Cs5H3
Source: Rfam